CCCCGAUUUGAUAGCAGUGUAAUCAUAAUAUGGGCAACUCCUUCAUGAUCUAACAACAAUGUAAUCCUAAUGUGGAUAACUUCCCCUUGAUCAUCCACUAUGGACAUUGUGGUCAUUCUCGGGGUAGUCUCUCAAAUGGUAGACCUCUACAUGACUCAUGUCCAAUGUCUUAGAAUGCCAAUACUUCAUUGCAAUCUUUUUAGCCACGAUCCCUGAUAAGUUUAUUUUAUAGAGUUAUUUGGUCACAAUUUUGAGUAUUUGUUUAAGCUCUUGAGAUUUAAUUUGAGUAUUAAGAGUUUUUAGUCAUUUAUUUUAUUUUUAGUAAAUUAUAUUGAGUUCAAUUGUGUUAAGUUAUUUUAUGAUGUUUUACUCUAAGUUUAGUUAUUAUUUAAUUUAGUUUGUUGCUUUUGUAGGUGUGCUAUUAAAAGGGUGACAUUUUGAAAAGAUGAAUGCAUUCAAGGUGCAGACUUUGAUUGCACAUGUAUCAAUAUUUCAACCAUAUGUUUCUCUACAAAAGUCCAAUUGAUGUGAUUCUUGAACCAAUGGAAAUCUAAGAGGCAGAAUUACAACUUUUAUAUUUACCACUUUGCCUAGUUCAGCAUUGAAGAAGGAGAAAAUCACAUUAGAAGUCAAAGUUGUGUAAUAGAGCCUGAUAAUUCAUGACAAUACAAAAGGGGCUACGGCCAUGAAAGGAGGCAAUGCCGCGGCGCCCCAACAAGCAUGUCCAGUUAAACCACACAUAAGCCUCGACUAUGUGGCCACCAAGGAACUAGUGUCAUGGUGCCUGAAAAGAAAAUAUGAAAAAAUAAGUGCAGGGCUUGGUGUCACGAUCCAGACCAACCUCUAUGAGGUAUUGUCCGUUUUUGCCCGCUAGUCUCACGGUUUGUCCCACAUAAGGUGCCUCACAGGUUAAAGGUGGUGUAAACCCUUAUAUGCCUGAUAUUGCUCUAGUACAUAGCCAAUAUGGGAUUCAUGACUCUUCUCUCUAAGACCACAACAUACUUUCUCACUCCCCACUAGGAGCAUUAUCUCAACGAUGUGGGAUUCUCGUCCACGAAAGGACCGUGACAUCUUACCCCAAUUGAACAAGGGUCCACUAUCCUUAGUGACACACUGCUAGUACUCAAAAUCUACUUUGAUACCAACUAUCAUGAACUACGCUUCUUUGCUUAAGUAUGAGAUAGAUCAUGAGGCGCUUGAUAACUCUAUGGUAUAGAGUUAUUUGGACUUAAUUUUGAUAGUAAUUUAGCUUAGUUCUUGCUAUAAUGCAUAGAAAUUAGUAAGGUUUAUUUAAAUUAUUUUAAAUUAAUUAUUUUAGGUAAGUCAAUCUAAGCUUAGUUAAUUUUAUACAUAAUUUGGUGUUAAUGUAAUUAAGAUAGGUUGUUAUUGAUUUAUUUGUGCUUUUGUAGGUUUAAUGAAGGAAGAAUUUUAAUUAAAGAAGGCAAGCAAUUUCGAGAUGCAGACUUUCAUUGUAUAUGUUUUGGUAUUUCGACCAUAGCUCUCUCUACAGAGCUCCAAAUAAGAUGUUCUUUAACUAUUGGAAAGACAAAAGAAAAAACUACAACUUUCAUGUUUACUAGUUCAACUUGGAAGAUGGUCAAUAAUUAUGUCUAAGUUGAACCACCGCAGUAGUCCUAGAGUAAUUACGAUUUUUGCUAUAUAAUGGGUCGAGGCUGCAGCUCACGUAGUCUGACGAGGAAAUCCUGAUUGGAAUUGACUUUUUUCUUCAUCUACCAUGUCCUAACUUCAAAGCCCUAUAAAAACAACAUUUUAGAGGACUUUUAAAGAGGAGAGAAGGAGACACCAAAUUGACAGCUGAGAUUCAAACCACAAAAUCAUUGAAAAAAAAUAUCUCAUUGGAACUGAAAAGAAAUUAAAGGUUUCAAGAAGAUUUGGAG
Molecule: long non-coding RNA, 1898 nt
Filed under: Theobroma cacao (cacao)
Lineage: Eukaryota; Viridiplantae; Streptophyta; Magnoliopsida; Malvales; Malvaceae
Description: long non-coding RNA (TCAC_LNC000536)
Source: RNAcentral